GAUUACUUGAAGUAAGAUUCA
This 21-nucleotide non-coding RNA is filed under the name Caenorhabditis elegans. Lineage: Eukaryota; Metazoa; Nematoda; Chromadorea; Rhabditida; Rhabditidae. The record is from RNAcentral.